GUAGCUGUAGCUUAACUGGAUAGAGCAUCCGGCUACGAACCGGAAGGUUGCAGGUUCAAGUCCUGUCAGCUGCACCA
Molecule: transfer RNA, 77 nt
Filed under: Clostridia bacterium
Lineage: Bacteria; Bacillati; Bacillota; Clostridia
Description: tRNA-Arg
Rfam family: tRNA
About the family: Transfer RNA (tRNA) molecules are approximately 80 nucleotides in length. Their secondary structure includes four short double-helical elements and three loops (D, anti-codon, and T loops).
Source: RNAcentral